UCAAACUUGGUCAUUUAGAGGAAGUAAAAGUCGUAACAAGGUCUCCGUUGGUGAACCAGCGGAGGGAUCAUUACCGAGUUGCAAAACUCACCAAAACCACCGCGAACAUACCUACGACAGUUGCCUCGGCAGGCGGCUCCAGGGCGGAGCCAUGGCCUGAAAUAUGGCGCCUGCCGGGGGUUUAAACCUCUGUAUUUUAUGUAUGGCCUUUCUGAGUUUCGAACCGAAACAAGUUAAAACUUUCAACAACGGAUCUCUUGGUUCUGGCAUCGAUGAAGAACGCAGC
RNAcentral lists this unclassified non-coding RNA (286 nucleotides) under uncultured fungus. Its description in RNAcentral is "partial contains small subunit ribosomal RNA, internal transcribed spacer 1, and 5.8S ribosomal RNA". The stretch from base 1 to 73 matches the Rfam family "Eukaryotic small subunit ribosomal RNA", at positions 1759 to 1831 of the family's 1831-position model. The record is from RNAcentral. Lineage: Eukaryota; Fungi.